This is a long non-coding RNA of Cervus elaphus (red deer), 1139 nucleotides long. RefSeq lists it as uncharacterized. The record is from RefSeq and is a predicted model, not a curated record. Lineage: Eukaryota; Metazoa; Chordata; Mammalia; Artiodactyla; Cervidae. The transcript has 3 exons.
GGUGCCCUCAGCCCUCUGGCUGGAUGUAGGAGGGCACAAGAGAAGCCUUAAUACAAGGAGUCAGGAACACAAGGAGGCUUCAUGGUAGAGCGCAAAGAGCUGGGUUUGGAGAUCUGGAGCCCUGACGUCAUGCCCAGAGAGGGCCGCAGCAUCUUUUCUCUGAGCUCGGCUGCGUGGUCAGGUCAGAAGGGGUUAGACAACCUCAGGGAAUCCCUAAGGGUCUUUUCAUUUGUAUAUUUAGAGUCUCUGGACCAGGAGGACUUAAAAUAACAAUUAUUUACAGCUUUGCAGAAAAUGAGAGAAACCUGUAAGAGUGAGCUUUCUACAACAGGAUAACAGAGGAUUUAGACUGAGCCAGCACACAGAGCCAGAGGUAGAACUCAGAGGAAUACUCUUUUCCAGUGAGGUCUGUUCUGACUUUCAAAGGGAUAUGUCCCCCUCCAGCCCUAUAUUACAGUACACUUGGUGUCUGGGAGGGUGCUGUCUUUGUGUGCUGGUUUCUUUUAAUGAUAGUGAAAAUUCUUUCUUAGGCAAAAAAGGCCCAGAGCACAGGAAAUAUAGUGAGGUGGCAGUGGGUGGUGGAGCUGGAGUGGCAGCCGUCGUCAGAUUGGAUACCAGGAAACAACCUGUCACAUGACCUCCAAGAACCUGAAGGCUUGAGGAAUCAAUCACUCUUCUGGGAAUACUUGUCUAGCAAACGCCUCACCCACAGCUUCCUCUAGCCAAAUAUAUAAGCAGGAGACCUGAAUCUGCUCGCAAUAAAGAAGAAAAAGUUAAAAAAACAAAAAACAGAAAACAUGUGCUGUAGCAAGUUACAGUGUCUACCUACUGCCUCACUUCAGAAAUAAAUCAAUGGAGAAGAGUGUUCUGGUUACCAUGCUGUGUAAGAAACUUCUAAAGGUAGUGGCUUAAAAGGACAAUUGUUUUGUUUAUGUGGGUCAGGAGCUUAUACGAGUGUUGAGGAAGCCUGUCACACAUCCAUGUCCGAAGGUUAUCUCCUCUUGAGAACAGAAUUGGAGUGGGGCAACGAGGGAAAUCAACCCUGAAUAUUCAUCGGAAGGACUGAUGCUGAAGCUGAAGCUCCAGCACUUUGGCCACCUGAUGCAAAGAGCUGACUCAUUGGAAAGACCUUGAUGCUG